Molecule: non-coding RNA, 520 nt
Organism: Oryctolagus cuniculus (rabbit)
Lineage: Eukaryota; Metazoa; Chordata; Mammalia; Lagomorpha; Leporidae
Source: RefSeq, a predicted model, not a curated record
CCCACGGCGCCCCUCGCGCUACGACAGCCCGGAGGGCCAAAACACAGGCGCCCGCGUCCGCGCCCCGCGCCUCACCGCAAAGUAUCCCAGCCCCAGCCCCGUGACCAGCGAGGGCAAUGGUCUGGCCGUCCGGAAGUAGGCGGUAGCAUCCCUUGCGGCCUUCGAGUUCGCCAGCACCAUCGUGAAAGACCCAGGCGCUCAGUCCUCAGGAGAUGGCCAUGACAACAUAGAAACACAACAUGGAAGAAGAAAAGGAAAAGCACGCCAUAAAUUUACACCUGAGGAACUGCACAUACUGAAUCAAUCAUUUGCAGAGAGUCCUUAUCCCGACUAUACGACCAAGGAGGAACUGGUCAAAAAACUCCAUUGUUCGUUUUACACAAUCGAGAACUGGUUCCAAAAUAAAAGAGCCAGACUACCAGCCAAGAAGAGACGCAAAGUGCUUGAAGCCAGGAUGCCAUAUGCACUCCCUGUCCAAGGUCCCCCAGGUGUAAGCCUGCAGAAUUCCCAGGAGUGGUCU